UCUAAUUGGCAGACAAGUGCAUUAAGUUUAAGCCUUAAUUAUAAUCUUUUAUAUAAAAUA
Molecule: transfer RNA, 60 nt
Filed under: Corythalia opima
Lineage: Eukaryota; Metazoa; Arthropoda; Arachnida; Araneae; Salticidae
Description: tRNA-Leu
Source: RNAcentral